Molecule: ribosomal RNA, 237 nt
Filed under: uncultured bacterium
Lineage: Bacteria
Description: partial 16S rRNA
Rfam family: Bacterial small subunit ribosomal RNA
Source: RNAcentral
GUGCCAGCCGCCGCGGUAAUACGUAGGUGGCAAGCGUUGUCCGGAAUUACUGGGCGUAAAGCGCGCGCAGGCGGUUUCUUAAGUCUGAUGUGAAAGCCCACGGCUUAACCGGGGAGGGUCAUUGGAAACUGGGAGACUUGAGUGCAGAAGAGGAAAGUGGAAUUCCAAGUGUAGCGGUGAUAUGCGUAGAGACUGUGAGGAACACCAGUGGCGAAGGCGCCUUUCUGGGCUGCAACU